Molecule: ribosomal RNA, 254 nt
Filed under: uncultured bacterium
Lineage: Bacteria
Description: partial 16S ribosomal RNA
Rfam family: Bacterial small subunit ribosomal RNA
Source: RNAcentral
CACGUAGGCACCAAGCGUUGUCCGGAUUUAUUGGGCGUAAAGAGCUCGUAGGCGGUUCAGUAAGUCGGGUGUGAAAACUCUGGGCUCAACCCAGAGACGCCACCCGAUACUGCUGUGACUUGAGUACGGUAGGGGAGUGGGGAAUUCCUGGUGUAGCGGUGAAAUGCGCAGAUAUCAGGAGGAACACCGGUGGCGAAGGCGGUUCUCUGGGAAUAUCCUGACGCUGAGGAGCGAAAGUGUGGGGAGCGAACAGG